CCGGCGACCGGCGGACGGGUGCGUAACGCGUAUGUAACCUACCUUUGACAGGGGGAUAACAUCGAGAAAUUGAUACUAAUACCCCAUAACAUCACCGGAGGCAUCUUCGGUGGUUGAAAACUCAGGUGGUCAGAGAUGGACAUGCGUUGUAUUAGCUAGUUGGUGAGGUAACGGCUCACCAAGGCGACGAUACAUAGGGGGACUGAGAGGUCAACCCCCCACAUUGGUACUGAGACACGGACCAAACUCCUACGGGAGGCAGCAG
Molecule: ribosomal RNA, 265 nt
Filed under: uncultured bacterium
Lineage: Bacteria
Description: partial 16S ribosomal RNA
Rfam family: Bacterial small subunit ribosomal RNA
Source: RNAcentral